CUGGCGGCGUGCCUAACACAUGCAAGUCGAACGAGAAAGUGGAGCAAUCCAUGAGUAAAGUGGCGACCGGGUGAGUAACACGUGACUAACCUACCUCCGAGUGGGGAAUAACUCCGGGAAACCGGGGCUAAUACCGCAUAACAUCGCAAGAUCAAAGCAGCAAUGCGCUUGGAGAGGGGGUCGCGGCUGAUUAGCUAGUUGGCGGGGUAACGGCCCACCAAGGCGAAGAUCGGUAUCCGGCCUGAGAGGGCGCACGGACACACUGGAACUGAAACACGGUCCAGACUCCUACGGGAGGCAGCAGUGGGGAAUUUUGCGCAAUGGGGGAAACCCUGACGCAGCAACGCCGCGUGGAGGAUGAAGCCCUUUGGGGCGUAAACUCCUUUCGACUCGGACGAUAAUGACGGUACGAGUGGAAGAAGCACCGGCUAACUCUGUGCCAGCAGCCGCGGUAAUACAGAGGGUGCAAGCGUUGUUCGGAAUUAUUGGGCGUAAAGGGCGCGUAGGCGGUGCGGUAAGUCACCUGUGAAAUCUCCUGNCUUAACUGGGAGUCUGCAGGCGAAACUACCGUGCUGGA
RNAcentral lists this ribosomal RNA (577 nucleotides) under uncultured bacterium. RNAcentral describes it as "bacterial SSU rRNA". It matches the Rfam family "Bacterial small subunit ribosomal RNA", at positions 36 to 645 of the family's 1533-position model. The record is from RNAcentral.